Molecule: ribosomal RNA, 628 nt
Filed under: Adoretini sp. BMNH 671443
Lineage: Eukaryota; Metazoa; Arthropoda; Insecta; Coleoptera; Scarabaeidae
Description: eukaryotic LSU rRNA
Rfam family: Eukaryotic large subunit ribosomal RNA
Source: RNAcentral
GGAGUCUAGCAUGUGCGCGAGUCAUUGGGACUCUAACGAAACCUAAAGGCGUAAUGAAAGUGAAGGUCCGCCUUGCGCGGACCGAGGGAGGAUGGACGGUCUUUCGGGAUCGUCUCGCACUCCCUGGGCGUCUCGUUCUCAUCGCGAGAAGAGGCGCACCAAGAGCGUACACGCUGGGACCCGAAAGAUGGUGAACUAUGCCUGGUCAGGACGAAGUCAGGGGAAACCCUGAUGGAGGUCCGUAGCGAUUCUGACGUGCAAAUCGAUCGUCGGAACUGGGUAUAGGGGCGAAAGACUAAUCGAACCAUCUAGUAGCUGGUUCCCUCCGAAGUUUCCCUCAGGAUAGCUGGCGCUCGCUUCUCGCGAGUCUCAUUCGGUAAAGCGAAUGAUUAGAGGCAUUGGGGUCGAAACGGCCUCAACCUAUUCUCAAACUUUAAAUGGGUGAGAUCUCCGGCUUGCUUGAACUGUGAAGCCGCGAGAUAUCGGAUCAGAGUGCCAAGUGGGCCACUUUUGGUAAGCAGAACUGGCGCUGUGGGAUGAACCAAACGCCGAGUUAAAGCGCCUAAAUCGACGCUUAUGGGAUACCAUGAAAGGCGUUGGUAACUUAAGACAGCAGGACGGUGGCCAU